Long non-coding RNA from Mustela erminea (ermine), 100 nucleotides. RefSeq lists it as uncharacterized. The transcript has 3 exons. The record is from RefSeq and is a predicted model, not a curated record. Lineage: Eukaryota; Metazoa; Chordata; Mammalia; Carnivora; Mustelidae.
AACCCUCACAUAUAUAGUCAAAUAAUUUUGACAAGGUUGCCAAGAUCAUUCAAUGGGGGGAAAGGACAGUCUUUUCAAAAUAUGGUUCAGGGGGAAUUGG